GACGAACGCUGGCGGCGUGCCUAAUACAUGCAAGUCGAACGCUUCUUUCCUCCCGAGUGCUUGCACUCAAUUGGAAAGAGGAGUGGCGGACGGGUGAGUAACACGUGGGUAACCUACCCAUCAGAGGGGGAUAACACUUGGAAACAGGUGCUAAUACCUCAUAACAGUUUAUGCCGCAUGGCAUAAGGGUGAAAGGCGCUUUCGGGUGUCGCUGAUGGAUGGACCCGCGGUGCAUUAGCUAGUUGGUGAGGUAACGGCUCACCAAGGCCACGAUGCAUAGCCGACCUGAGAGAGGGAUCGGACACACUGGGACUGAGACACGGCCCAGACUCCUACGGGAGGCAGCAGUAGGGAAUCUUCGGCAAUGGAAGAAAGUCUGACCGAGCAACGCCGCGUGAGUGAAGAAGGUUUUCGGAUCGGAAAACUCUGUUGUUAGAGAAGAACAAGGACGUUAGUAACUGAACGACCCCUGACGGUAUCUAACCAGAAAGCCACGGCUAACUACGUG
RNAcentral lists this ribosomal RNA (508 nucleotides) under uncultured bacterium. RNAcentral's name for it is "partial 16S ribosomal RNA". It matches the Rfam family "Bacterial small subunit ribosomal RNA", at positions 28 to 507 of the family's 1533-position model. The record is from RNAcentral.